AACGAACGCUGGCGGCAUGCCUAACACAUGCAAGUCGAACGAGACCUUCGGGUCUAUUGGCGCGGGGGUGCGUAACGCGUGGGAACCUGCCCUUAGGGUCGGAAUAACUCCCCGAAAGGGGUGCUAAUACCGGAUAAUUUCUUCUGACCAAAGAUUUAUCGCCUUUGGAUGGGCCCGCGUUGGAUUAGCUAGUUGGUAGGGUAAAAGCCUACCAAGGCGACGAUCCAUAGCUGGUCGGAGAGGAUGCUCAGCCACACUGGGACUGAGACACGGCCCAGACUCCUACGGGAGGCAGCAGUGGGGAAUAUUGGACAAUGGGCGAAAGCCUGAUCCAGCAAUGCCGCGUGAGUGAUGAAGGCCUUAGGGUUGUAAAGCUCUUUUAUCCGGGAUGAUAAUGACAGUACCGGGAGAAUAAGCGCCGGCUAACUACGUG
This 433-nucleotide ribosomal RNA is filed under the name uncultured bacterium. RNAcentral's name for it is "partial 16S ribosomal RNA". It matches the Rfam family "Bacterial small subunit ribosomal RNA", at positions 29 to 507 of the family's 1533-position model. The record is from RNAcentral.